GGGGGUGACUUUGGAUUUGAUAGAAGGAACUCGUGAAUAUUGAUUGCCACUGCUUGAUGAUUCUAUAGCAUAAGAUGAAUCAACCAAAAAAUGCAAACGCAUGAAAAUCUCUCCUUGCGAGAGCUAAUCUUGUAAAAGCUUACGCUUAGUAGAUUAGUAUCAACCUUUGCGUCUGACUCCUCCUAUGCGUGAAGGUGAAUUAAGGAGGAACUCUAUAGUUGUCUGAGUAUAUAAGAAAUUGAGUUUGUUACUUUUCUUUUCUUCCUCUCUCAGAUAACUCAAAAAAGCUGAGUUAAAAAGUGACUAUUGUGGUAGACAUUGGUAUUUAUGCCUUUUAGACCGGAGUUCAAUUCUCCGCACCUCCAAAA
Molecule: transfer-messenger RNA, 368 nt
Filed under: Candidatus Peribacteria bacterium
Lineage: Bacteria; Candidatus Peregrinibacteriota; Candidatus Peribacteria
Rfam family: transfer-messenger RNA
About the family: Bacterial tmRNA, also known as 10Sa RNA or SsrA, is named for its dual tRNA and mRNA-like properties. Its role is to liberate the mRNA from a stalled ribosome.
Source: RNAcentral